UGCAACUAUCUGAAACAUGUUGAUCUCAAGACCAUUUUGUAAACGAAAAUAUGUCAAUUUUAUAGUAGCUGGCAUAUCUUGUGUGUAAAGCUGAUUAGAUAGGAUACCAACAGGUAGCUGUCUGCUACAUGAAUUUUUACAUGACUUUCAUCUAAAUUAGAAAUCUAACAGCAAAAUCUAUCAUGUAGGGAUGUCACCUGGAUUUGUGGUACUCCUUUGAGGCCUUUGGGUUUAGAAACCAAUGACUGCAUUACACGUGGUAAUUCACAAACUCUGAAUUAUUACACCAUAAUUCAAACUAUGUCAAGUCUGGUUGCUCAGUUUUAUUAUGUAAUAAUGAUCUAUUAAUAAAUAAUGCACAGAUAUAUUAAUACAAAUUACUAAUGUAAACUAUAAAUAUUCCUUACUUUGUUCUACUGGUUCAGAACACAAUGUAUGUGAAAAUGUUAUAAAAUGGAACUUGCUUAUGCAAAAAAUAGUGCAAUACAUAUUAGUCAGCUGUAUUUUGUUGCUGGGCUGCGUGACUAAUAUUUAUUUAUUUAUAUAGUGAUAUCCCCCAGUCGUGGAAGAGGGCUCUAUUGUGCUCAGCUCUGUAGAAAUACAGAACAAAAAGAUGGUCCUUGUACCGAAGAGCGUUGCAAUCUAAGAAAACCAGAUGGUGGUGGAGGAAGCACAAGAUAACUUAAUCUGGGACCCAGCUUCAAACUUCAGAGCUUUUUACAGAUAAGAUGGGAAUCCACGGAUCAAUGCACAUGGACAAAUGUCUGCACCACUGAAUCUGAGCAACUAAAAGCAUUAUUAUACAAAAAUAAAAGCCCUGACUCAUGGAGUGACGUUGCUAUUGGCUCUGUCAAUAAAGUUUCCAUUUUAACGAUGCUUCACAACAGCAGAACUAGUCUGAUGAUGCAGAGCAGGCUUUUGGCAUUUGGAAGUAUUGGAGUGUCAAAUG
This is a long non-coding RNA of Caretta caretta (loggerhead turtle), 949 nucleotides long. RefSeq lists it as uncharacterized. The record is from RefSeq and is a predicted model, not a curated record. NCBI's taxonomy places the organism in Eukaryota, Metazoa, Chordata, Testudines, Cheloniidae.